This is a non-coding RNA of Pelobates cultripes (western spadefoot toad), 204 nucleotides long. The record is from the annotation of a GenBank genome assembly. NCBI's taxonomy places the organism in Eukaryota, Metazoa, Chordata, Amphibia, Anura, Pelobatidae.
CCUUAUGCCCCAGAGGAGAUUUCAGACACAUACAUAAAAUUUGCACACAGGCGUAGUCCACACACCAGAAGAAAUCAACCAGGUGUUCACUCAGUUCUACUCGGAACUGUAUGGACACUCCCGUCAGGAACAGCGUUCCCCCAAACGGGAACAGACGGACUUACUGUCGUUCAUGAUGGGCAAAACUCUACCAAGGGUGACCGG